This 39320-nucleotide long non-coding RNA is filed under the name Coffea arabica (coffee). RNAcentral's name for it is "long non-coding RNA (CARA_LNC007770)". The record is from RNAcentral. Lineage: Eukaryota; Viridiplantae; Streptophyta; Magnoliopsida; Gentianales; Rubiaceae.
CGGGAAACAGCUAGCAGGAUCUGAAUGCUUUUUUAUUAUAGAAUAGGCCAAUACUCUGCAUAAAUUUGCAGAAAGUGGAGUGAUUUGUGAUAAUUACUGUUUUAAACAUAAGCUUCCUUGUUGGCCUUAAGAUCCUUGUAUGUGCUUUUGUAUCCAUUGUUGAUUCUGCAGAAUAUAAUUAGCCACAUUCGUUUUCACUUGCCUUUUUUGGGCAGCAUUUCUGCUUCCGUUUUUCCCCCAACUGUUUUGGAUUUGGUUUUGUGUCUGGACUUAUAUUUUGAUUUUGGUUUUGUGUCUGGACUUAUAUUUUGUUUAAAGUCAAGCAAAGAGUGCAUAGUUCUCUUUGACUAUCCGUUGGACCAGCUCUUUCCGUCCGCUUGUACCCAAAAACAGCGACUUGCAUCAAUAAGGCAUUCUACGCUGGCAACUGUGAAAAAGUAGAUUGUUCUUUUGCUGGAGAUCUUGCUAUUGCUAGAGUAGAUGUGUCAAAUCCUUUGCAUUUGCAACUUAAUGAAUCAAGAACUUGCUAAAAAGAAAAAGUGGUUUACUCUACCAACCUACAUGUUUGACACGUGAUAUUUAAAAUAGAAGAGAGGAUAAUUUGGUAAAGAAGGGAAACUAAAAGUUGCCUAUUCCCCUCUAACUCUGCUUUUGUUGAAUUUUCAAUUCUACAUGCAAGGACCAUCAACGGUAUCUUAGUUUUAAAGGUUAUUUCAGUAAAGUUGUUUGAUAAGUGACCAGUUUUAUUCCCAUUGACCAUGAAUCGUAAGUUACUGUUAAGGGUCUUUUCUGUGGGAUUGUUUGAUAACUAAAGUUAAUGGUUAAUUUUACCCACACAAGUCAUGAACAGCUAAGGGUCAUUUGGACUAAAGUAGUUUAAUAAUUGGGGUUAAUGGUCGAUUUUUCCUCCGAACCAGUAAGCCUUUUGCGUAUAAUUUACGGUUCCAUUACAUGUUAUUAAUAUUGCUUAAGUAUACAAUGGCUGACGCAAAGGCCCAAUUCAAUGCAUCCAUUACAUAAAACCCACGUUUUUUAAAUUUUUGUUGUCACAUUUUAGGUCUUGAUAUCUGUUAGGUUUAAAACUCUUUACUUAUAACCUUUUGAUUAAGUUCAGUAGUUAAUUAUCAAAUUUGAGACAAAAAAUAUUAAAAUAACAUGCGAAAUUCUGGGUAAUGAUAAAAGGAAUAAUAGAAUUUCAAAAAGAGGAUAUAAGUUCGUUAUAAUUCAAGAUAAGGGAAUUCAUCACUAUUCAAAGUUUAUUAAAAAAUAAGGGACGUUGAGUGAAUUUACCCCAAUGCCAUUCUAAUUUGAAUGAUGACGUGUAUAUCUAUGAACUCCAUGGAUAAUGUGGUAAUGCCACAUCAUUAUGCUGGGCCCAAAUAGUGGAGCAUUUGAUGACAUGGAUACGGGGCAGGAGACCACUCCUGAACGGUCUCCUCACAAUCAGAAACGUGAGGAGACAACUGAGCCAAGUAAGCAAGGCUCAAGCAGGGCAUAAAAACGACGCCGUUCCAAAUAAAAAAAUGUUGACUUCUAAACGGGAGCAGACGGAGCAAACGGAAGAGAAGUAGAUUUUGAAAUUCAAGUUGAAAUUUUGAAUUAGCCGCAGAAAACAAAACUGAGGGAAGAGUCUUGGCAUGCUUCUGAAGGUAGUCUACUCUGACCGACCGCUCACUGAAGGUAGAAAGCUGAAGUUCGGGUGGGAUUCGACCUACUGGGUGUUUCUAGGUGAAGUGGGUGUAGUCUACUCUGAUGAAGGUAGCAAUUGACAGAAAAGUGGGUGGAGAGGCAGGCGGCAAGGUAGAAGCAAACAGAGACGAAGCCAAAGUUUGUUCGUAAAACUGAAUAGCAGAAGCAGCUGUGGUCUUCAACUGGGUAUGGGAGUGUUGUAUCUAUUUUGAAUGCGUGCAAGGCAGGCUGUAAGGUAGAAGCAAACAGAGGAAAUUCAGCAUCUCACGAACCCAGAUUUUGUCCUUCAACUUAAUAGCAGAAGCAGCUACGCUCUCCGACUUCGAUGAAAUGUAAAGCGUAUUAGCAUGUGACGACCCCACUUCUCCCAAGGGCGAACCCAAGGGUAUCGGCGGGCCGCCUGCCUAGCUCGCGCCAGGACUCAAACCUUAAAGCGAUAAAAACCAGAAAAUCCAAAAGAGUACCUUACAUACUAUAUACAAAAAGGAUAUAAGCUGUAACAUAAUUUUGGAGAAUUAGUAAGUAUGGAAUAAGUAACAUGUUUUUUGGAAACAAACACAAAAGCCGAAGUACACAUAAUGAAUAAAAAAUGUUGGGUGUACUUUUAUAGUAAUUAAUACAAAUUUUUGAAGUAAAUACUUGUUUGUUAGGUUAUGUGUUCGGGUCGAUAUUGUUUAAAAAUGCACAAGAUGUAACUUUACAUGUGCACUGUGUCUUUAGUCUAUAACUAGGACCAAGAGUGAUGUAUUUAGGUGACGGGAUUGAAAGCUGGUGAGAGUAACAUGCUUUUUUAUACAACUAUAUCCAUGUGAAUUCGGGUUGUUUUAUGUACAAAGCGUAAUGGCACAAGUAGUACCGACACCUUGAUGAGUGUUACGUCGACUUAUUAACCAGUUACGGAAGAUUGCAGCUUUUAUCGUCAAAGGAACUUAACAAUUAACUCAGGGUCAUGUGUUUUGAAUGAGGGUCCCUCCCUUUGUUGUUUCCAGCCGUACAACUUGCCAAUUUUACAGUAUUUGGUGUAUAUUCAAAUGUUUGCACUUCAAUGCACACCUAUUGAUUAUUUUGUCACACACUUCAGGGUUGAUAAAAAUUAUAGAAAUUUUUAAAUAGUCGUCUUGGCUCCCUGGGUUUUAAUAUUUGAUGUACAAGUAGUUCACCUGUCUUUACUCCUUCUUUAAAGAAGUGAUACACCCAUGUAGUAAUGGUAGUUACUACAAUAAGCUUAGCAGUGGUCAAUUUAUUCGGGUAAGCACCUAUGAUGUCUCGGGUUGUUGAUUAGAUGUAAGUUUGGUCCUGCUUCAACAAUAAGUAACAUACAUAUAGAUAACAUAUCAUUACACGGUGAAGAAUACCCGUUCAAUUAUUACAAGUAGUUUCCAUGUACUUACGCUUUGUUUUUUUAAAAAUACAUUUCGUGUAGGGUUAUUAAUGACAAUAAAUGGUGUCUUUGGUCCAAAAGGUAGUACCAAUUUGCAAGGAUACAUAUUUUGUCAAAGGUUCCGACUUAAAGAUGCAUCUUAAUGUCCAAAAAUAUUAAUUUGUCAUAUUUUAUUGAAAAUGUCAACACAAAAUUUCAUCUACACCUGUUAGCGCCAUUUAGUGACUAUUACGGGCUAUGUAUAUGAUAAUUUAAUCUAACAAUGCACGUGCACUAACUUUAUAUGUGCUCUGUGUAACAAAUUUGUGAACUACGAAAGCUAUUCUUGGGUCCAAACGUGAACAUGUAUGGACCCCAUACUGGGUCCAAAUUCAUAUAUGCUCUGUUGUAUGGAUCCCAUACUUUUUUAUGUGCUCUGUUGUAACUUUAUAUGUGCGCUUUGUAACAAAUAUUGAACUAUGAAAGCUAUUCUUCGUCCCUAAUUUUAUGGGGAGACAUGUAUGGACCCCACACUGCAAUGUGUUCGUCAUCCAAAUUCAACAACAGGUACACUUAUGUACAUAUGAUGACUAUCAAUUUAAAAGUUUCAAUAAUCUACACAAGGUUAAUAUAGUCCUUCUCAAUAUACCCCAAAACAUAAUCUACACCAAUCCAAAAGCUACAUUAGACACAUGACAAUGUAUAAAUGGGAGAAGAUCCAAUUUUGUCAAACUACAGUCACAUCUGACUUCAUGAAAUUCAUGCAUUACCAACAUUCAAUUGCACCCAUUUUAGUACUUGCAGGUUUGCAAAGCUGUCCGAAAACUUAGAGUUCUCCGCUGAGGUACACAAUCGAGCUGUGUACAACACUCGAUACUUGCCAACAUUUUCCUUUCCAAUUUAAACGUAAUAAGUAUUUUCAAAAGCAAAGGCAACAACUAUAAUGUGAGAACCCGUGGAUUUUCUUAUUUUCUAGAUUUUAUUUUAUUUAAUUGCACGCUUUUCUGUAUUUUCUUUAUUAGAAAAAUUUUCUAGAUAAUUUUUAUGAGUAAAUAUAGUUUUUAGAUGAUUUUUCUAGUAUCGGUUAGUUUUUGAGAAAUUAAGAGCGUAUACCGGACGUGGGACCCACUAGUGCGGUAAGUUUGAUAAAAUUCGGCCAAUUAGGUUAAGUUCAUUUGUCUUAUAAGAAGGUUGGAAAAAAAUAAGAAUUAAUUCUAGCCACAAGUUUGGUUAACACUUGGUUGAAUCACAACCACACAAUUUUCUCUCUCUUGUUGCAUUUUGAACCACUAAUUUUCGGCCAAUAAGAAGCUAAGAGGGGGGAAGAUAUUUUGCUCUAUUAGUGGUAAACUUGCAUGGCAAGUAAGUGGUGGUUAAUUGGUGCGUUCAAUCGGUAAUGCGCGGGACCCGCCGGUUCGCGCCGUUUUUUCUUAAAACACACGUUACUAGGGUUUUUUAACAUGUUCGCAUAUUCACUAAUCUUAUCUUAUUUGCUCCUAAUUACAGUACAUAUUUAUUAUCUCAGCUUUAAAAGUCAACUUUUUAUCACCACCAAAUUUGAUACCUUUUUUUGUUUUCCGUAUCCAAAAAUUUCAUUCCGCGGCGAAAAAUCAACAAAAACCUGCUAAUUUUGGCUCCAAUGCUGAUAAACGCGAAGAGUGAAACCCUACGCCUACUUUCUUCUAGGGCUGACAGAUUGCACUUAUUAAAUGGAAUAAUUGGAUAGUAGGGCUUUAAAUCUUAAUCCCUACAUAGGGUUUUCGAAAUACUCCUAAAACCAAACGUUACCGCCCAGCUAAUGAAUAUAUCAACGUAGAACGGACUGGGGCCUCACAAUUGGUUCGCCCUUGGGAGAAGUGGGGUCGUCACAGUUGGUAUCAGAGCUUAGGCUUCAGAUCUCUGUAGUGUAUCCUAGGCUUGAAGUUUAGGAUGCCGGACUGUGGGAUUUGAUUUGAUAUGAAUGUUAAGUAAUUGAGGGAUAAAAUAUAUAGCUGCUUCGCGUGGUCUCUGCGCGGAGUGAGCCUGGACUAAGUGGUGAAUAAAUAUGAAGGACUAAGUGCUCGUUCGAGCAUAAGCUAUGAAUUGCAAAUGUUAUGGGCCUUUAUCUUUUCCGUGGUAUUUGAGGAUCAUAAAUAGGUACGUCGGGUAGGAAUUUCGAUUGUAGAUAGUUUACUCUUGGGACUGGCCAGCUCGAGAUGUGAAUUAUCUUAUUUCGGAUUCUCGUGCCCGAGUACUCUAAAGUUGAGGCAGCGUUAAGUACUUGAAAUUUCAUUUUGGAAACAUGAACAGGCUUUGUCUGACUAGAAUGAGCACAAGAGGUCAAUGGACGUCUAGUUUGGAUAGAAAGUAACGUGAUAGAUCGGACGGGGUUAUUUAUUUGAGACUGGGACGAUUUCACCUUUUCUUUUGACUCGCCCGUAUAUAGUUACUACAUGAUGUUAGUAUGUGUGUGUGUGUGUACAUGGUUAUCUGUCCAAUUUGAUAUGUAUUUGUGUAAUUGAUUAUCUGUCUCCUUAAUAUGGCGUGUUAUGUGCGUAUAAGUUUAUUUGCGUAUUUCAUUUAUUAAAGUACCCUUUGGAAGAAAAAAAAACAUAGAGGGAAGACGUAGUCGCGGACAUGGUCGUGGCCGUGGAGCCAAGCGGGGCCAAGAGUCAAGAAAAAGGGGAAACAACCACUGAACAAAACCAGGGACCGAGAGUGUCAUUGGUAUUUAGGAAUUUAUUAUGACCCAUUGUUUUGGCCAGCAGGCUACUAUCGAAGGUCCAGCAACUCCGUGAGAUGGCACAUUGGGUCGAGAUGUAUAAGGAAAUCGCAGUUCUUCGAGACGAAAUAGAGGUCCAAAGGAGACUAGCCGCAUACUGGGAAGGGCGAUGGAAGCACGAGUAUUCAGAAAAGAUUGAGCUCUUGCACCAGAACUUGGAGCUAAAAAGGAAAUACGAAGGGAUUUCUGAGGAGGCCUUAACAAUGGCACAAAACACUACUGCUAUGGGGUUUCCAGAGGAAGCUCAAAGGACAGGAAUUGCAAGGCCACAAGUAAAUAUCUUCCAUGCAAAGAAAAGAGGUAAAAGGCCAGAACAGUGUAAGCGAGGUAGGCCAGUCGCUAAGAAGGGUCGUGGAGUAAGGGGUGUGAAAAUUUUGGAGACACUUAAGGAGGAUACUCCGGGAGGAAACCCAAGUGGAGAAGGACCACUGCAUGAUGUCUCACAAGAGGAUCAGACCCCAAUCGCUCUCUCAUUUUGUGGCUACUGUAGAAAAUCCAACCAUAUGGAGGUGGAUUGCUGGAAAAAGGAUGGAAGGUGUCUGCGUUGCGGGAGCACCGAGCAUCGGAUUGCUAAUUGCCCUAGUUUAUUGCGUGAAAAGAAAGGAACCCAGCAGCCAACCCAGACCGACCCUGGACCGUCAAAUAGAGAAGGGACUGGAAUGAAAAGCCUCGUUUCUUCUGAGGAUGAAGAAGGUACAGGCCACUGGUUACUUUAGAUUCGAUAGGUUCCGUUCAUAGAAAAAUUUCGAGGACGAAAUUGUUCUAAGUGGGGGAGAUUGUGAGGCCCCAGUCCGUUCUACGUUGAUAUAUUCAUUAGCUGGGCGGUAACGUUUGGUUUUAGGAGUAUUUCGAAAACCCUAUGUAGGGAUUAAGAUUUAAAGCCCUACUAUCCAAUUAUUCCAUAAUAAGUGCAAGUGAGCCUAGAAAGUAGGGUUUCACUCUUCGGUUUCAGCAUUGGAGCAAAAUUAGGGUUUUUGUGAUUUUCGCCGGAUGAAAUUUUGGUACGGAAAAAGGAUCAAAUUUGGUGAUUAAAAGUGACUUUUAAGUGAGAAAUAAUAUGUAAUUAGGAGCAAUAAGAUAAGAUUAGUGAAUAGGAAGUAAAAACCCUAGUACGUGUGUUUUAAGAAAAAACGGCGCGAACCGGCGGGUCCCGCGCAUUACCGAUUGAACGCACCAAUUGACCACCACUUACUUGCCAUGCAAGUUUACCACUAAUAGAGCAAAAUAUCUUCCCCCCUCUUAGCUUCUUAUUGGCCGAAAAUUAGUGGUUCAAAAUGCAACAAGAGAGAGAAAAUUGUGUGGUUGUGAUUCAACCAAGUGUUAACCAAACUUGUGGCUAGAAUUAAUUCUUAUUUUUUUCCAACCUUCUUAUAAGACAAAUGAAGCUUAAUCUUCCUCAUUCUUUUCUCUCUCUUGGCCGAAAUUCUCUCCAAAGGAAGAAAGAAAAAUCUCUCUCAAUUCCUUGUCCUAAUCUUGCUCAAUCUCAUAAACUAACCGGUUAAUCUUGAAUUCCUUCCAUAAAACCUCUUCAUUUGGUAUUAGUAAGUUGAUUGGUGAAGUGUUUGUGGAAGCUAAGGUGACAAGCAACUCCCUCUCUCUUGUUUUACUAGGUGAGUAAUGAAUGAACUCUCUCCUUCACCUAAUGAAGCUUAAUUCAUGCUUAGUGGUGUUAAGAGAUGAAAAAUUAUGGUUUAUAUCUUGAUUUGUGGAUGAUUUAGUGAAGUUUUAUAUUUAUUGGGAUUUUUCCUGUUUUAAUAUAAGCAUGAUUGUGUGGUUAUAUAUGAUGGUUGGAAAUGGUAUGUAAUGAUGCUAGAUGGUGGAAAAAGUGGAAGAUUGCAAGUGAUUUCUGUUUUGAAUGAAAUCUGGAAAAUUGGGGUUUCUUGGUUCUUCAUUCUGUCCGAAUAUUUUGGUCCUAGAUAGAGGCCGAAUUGGCCUUGGCUUAAAACAUGAAAGUUGUAGGAAAUGACAUUUUAUAGGUGCCUGUAAAAUUUCAGGUCAAACGGAUUAAUGUAUUCCGAGUUAUAGACAAAACCCUCAGACCUGUUUUAGACGUCCGUUUUGUACGUUUUGCAUUUCAGUUUCUGCCGUGCAUUUUUCCGUUCUGAUUCCAUACGAUCUGGGUGUCGACUCCUUCAUAAGAAAUUUAUAUCUUGGUCUCAGCUUCGAAACGGUAUAAAGUACGUCGACAACCGAGUUCCGUAGCUCCUGUUAUGAUCAAAACAAUAACGCUGGUCAGAACUGCCUUGUAUUUGGACAGUUCUGACGGGUACGUUGACACUCGAUAUUCGUUCUGUUCUGAGUGGAUUCAGGUCUUGACCAAAACAUCAAAGUUUUAGCCUUAUGUCUCAGCUUUCUAACGCCUUUGGAAUUUCUUGAUUUCGAUUUCUGAGCCGUGAGUUACGGCCUUGCAAACAGGGCAUGUUUGGUAACUUGCCAUGAAACAGCUGGCACUAUUUCGUGCCUUUUUGACCUAUACCUAUUGAGAUCUGGGUUGAGAUGUCUUCAUGAGAAUUUUAGCCCUUCCUCUUAGCUUCGAAACGGUAUCUCGUUCACCUUGAUCCGACACUCCUAGCCUAACUUUCGACCAAAACGGUUUAAGAUGGCCGAUUUGGCCGUCCCGUUUGCCGUUCCGCGCGCGCGCGUGUGCCCCUUUUUGCCGUUUUCGCACUUGCGCGUGCCAAUUUUGCCGUUUUGCUUGUUUUACGUGUGUGAGUAGCUGUUUGUGAUAUAUUGUGACACAAUCUUCGAUUUCAGACGGUGGUGAACUAGGCGAAACCGGUGGGGCCCACUACUAGCCAACCAACGAAGUGAUUUCCGCUUUUGUACUACUUUUGUAUUUGGAGUAAGUAUUCAGGCCGCUUUUGUAUGUUAGUUGCUUAUGUGUUUCGAUAUGUAUGAAGAGGGUACUUAGACGAGGGUGUACUUUAUCGCACUCGCUCUAAACCCUAAUUUGCACACAUAUUUGUACAUGGCUUAUGUAUAUGAGCAAUUUUGGAACUAAAACCCUUGAGCUGGUGGCUCAGGGUGACUUUUGAAUAAUUUUGUGAAUUUUGUGAGUUUGAGGUUGAACUCAAUACCUAGAUGGACUAUUCGAGCCGGUUAGGGCUUGGUCGAAGUCAGUCCAACUUGGUUUGAGGUCACCAAGUUUGUGAACCCGGUUCGCUGAGUAUGUGAACCAAUUUUGUGACCCGAGCUUGUGACUCAAGCUCAAGUUUGUGAUUUCGUUCGCCUGGGCAAGUUUGUGAGGUGACUGGCCAGUGAGGGUGAUAAGGUGUUCGGUGGGUGUACAAGUGGAGUUCUACGGACCUUAUGUAUGGUCGACGGAGUGUCGACAGGAGGUCACGCAUGGCAACGACUUGGCUUUGGAGCCACCUGUAUCCUUAUUAUGUGAUGUUACUUUUCUGCUUUUGCUUUACUCUUAUUGAGUAACUGUGGUUACGUGACAUUUACGCUUUUGCCCCUGUUUACUUACUAAGCAUAUAGCUUACCCCGUUCCUUUUGUUUUCCUUAGCAGGGGCCGACGCGGGGACUUAUGGGCACUUACACUAGUAUUGGUUUGUCAUAGUUGGACAAUUAGGAUGUUUGUUUUUAUUGUGGUGGUUUGUAUAAGGACCCUCCUUAGGGUCUACCUUUUAGUUUUGGUUGUAAUUAUAAGGGUGUAAUAGUUUGAACAGGUACUUUUGGAGAAUGUAAUUAUAACCUUUUUGGGAUUUGUAUAUAGUAUGUAAGGUACUCUUUUGGAUUUUCUGGUUUUUAUCGCUUUAAGGUUUGAGUCCUGGCGCGAGCUAGGCAGGCGGCCCGCCGAUACCCUUGGGUUCGCCCUUGGGAGAAGUGGGGUCGUCACAUAGCAGACCAAGGUAACGUGACUAAACCAUGUCAGUAAUUGUGACCAAUAAUUUGUCACCCAAAUGCAUAUCUGUUAAAUAAAGGAUGAAAUUAGAGUCACUGAAAACAUAAUAUGAAAAUGAUAGAAGAAUAGUGAAGUUGUACUGUAUUUGUAUGUGUGUACCGUAUCUGUGUGUGUGUGAGCAUUCAGCUUUUCGGUGAUGGACUAUAAUGGGAUAGUAGUUUUUGGAAGACCUAGGGGUAUGUAUUCAAGUAAACCGUCGAACGGAAUUAGGGAAAGAUGAGAGAAACAAAGUCAUAUUUAACAAGUGAAUGAAUGUACAUCCUGUUGUAAAUUAGUUACAUGUUAUAGCCACCGUAUUACAAUUGAUAUGAAUCAUUGUGCAUCUAAUAGUUGGUCCAUGCUCAUAGGGCAAUAUUAGUUUGCCCCUCUCCUGACCAUGCAGUGUGUAUAAAAUGGAGGCGUAGAGUUGAAUGAGGUGAAACAGAGGAAAAGACAUAUAUGUGAAUAAUAAAUUGGUGAACCUUGUGUUAUAAGUAAAUUACAUGAUGUAAGAAAUAUAUUACAAUGAGUAGAAAGUGCUUGUUUGGCCCUCAAAAUGUAGAAAUAGUAGAAAAUGCGGAGUUGGCUUAUGCGGUAUUCAUUAACGAAUCAAAAUAUAAGGUCCAGUGAGCUAAAGAACCUAGAAUCAAAAUAUAAUCACCAGCAUGGAUGUACAUACAGUUAAAAUAGACUUACAUCGUGUGAUCAAUACAUUACGGUCCGUAUAAGUUAUUGUACAUGGAGUUGUAUUUGUACAUAGAUAAUGCCGUUGUCUUAGAGUAAAAGUAAGGUGAUGUGAAUCAUUAAUCAUAUUGAUAAGCGUAAUAAUAGGAUUUAGUAUACGAGUAAUGUGUGAUUCAUAACACAUUAUGAAUGGUAAUAUACAUUUAUGUUGUCAUUUAUGUACAUACUAUUCAUGAAGUGUUGCAAAUUAGGGUGUUUGAUGCAUAAUUGGUAGGAGCAGAAGUAAUGGAUUGCAGCAAAUUGGCAGAAGAUGGGACUCCUGAGUUAGGAAUGGAGUUCAGCAGUGAAGAGGAUGCAUAGAAGUUUUACAACAAGUAUGCCUUUAAAAUGAGUUUUAGUGUACGUAAAGACUAUCUAAAUAAUGACAAAGACGGCGUGACCACGUCUAGGAGAUAUAGUUGCUGCAAGGAAGGUGUGAAGCGCAAGUACGAAGGUGAUGUGAUGCCAAAGAGGACACGAGUGCCGACGAAAACAGGGUAUGGAGCUAAAAUGGUUAUCGUGUUGCUUAGAGGGACAAUGAAGUACCGUGUGCAUGACCUUGUUUUAGAGCAUAACCAUGAGUUGCACAUUGCUCAAUGUGCGCACAUGAUACCAUCACAAAGAAAAGUGAGUGUGGCUCAAGGAUUCCAAGCUGAAAUAAGCGAAGAUGCUGGGAUUUCAUUGAAACAGAGCCAUGAGCUUAUGGGAAAGGAGGCAGGUGGGAUGAGCAAUGUGGGAUAUACUCGGGAUAAUCUUAAACGAUAUCUUCGAACGAGAUGGGAAAGGAGCUUGAAAUAUGGAGAAGCAGAUAGUAUGCUGAAUUAUUUUCAAGAGCAAACACUUGAGAAUCCAUCCUUUUUUCAUGCCGUACAGCUGGACUGUGAAGAACAGAUAACGAAUAUCUUUUGGGCUGAUGCAGGAAUGUUAAUUAACUACAACUUUUUUGGAGACGUAGUCACAUUCGACACAACCUACAAAACAAAUAAAGAAUACCGGCCACUUGGAGUAUUUGUGGGUUUUAACCAACAUAGGCAAAUUGUGAUAUUCGGUGCUGCCCUUAUGUAUGAUGAGACGAUAGAUUCUUUCAAAUGGGUGUUUGGUACAUUUCUAGAAGCAAUGUGCAGAAAGCGUCCAAGCACCAUACUAACAGACCAAGAUCACGCCAUGGCAGCCGCUUUUUCACUUGUCAUGCCCCAAACGUUUCACGGUCUAUGUACGUUUCAUAUAAGACGUAAUUUUAUGAAACAUCUUGGCAAUCACUACAAGGAAAGUAGUGACCUUCCAUACAUGUUUGGUGCCUGCAUGUAUGAGAUUGAAGAAGUUGAACAAUUCAACAGGGUGUGGGAGGCGAUGGUGAAGAAACACAAUCUUGAAAAUAAUGAAUGGCUUUCCGGGCUGUAUCGAAUUCGUGAUAAGUGGGCAAGGUGUAUGAUGAAAGAAAGAUGGACCGCGGGAAUACAAAGCAUCCAACUUAGCGAAAGCCUAAAUGCAGCAAUUAAAAAUUAUUUGAAACUGGAUCACGACCUUGUGCAGUUCUUUAGACAUUUCAAUCGGGUGGUUGAUGAUAAGAGACAUAAUGAACUCAUCGUAGAAUAUGAAAUGAGGCAAAAGCUCCCCAUGGUUGGGUUGAGGCAAACACCUAUGCUUGUGCAUGCUGCAGAUACAUAUUCACCAACCGUAUUUGUUGCAUUCCAAAAUGAAUAUGGCGAGUCCACAGCUAUGGUUAUAUUGAAAUGACAAAAUGCAGGGAUGUUUGUGGAGUUUGCUGUCAUGAGAUAUGAUGGAGGACCUGAAAGAAUAGUGGUAUUCAAUAGGAAUGAUCUAAGUGUACGCUGUAGUUGCAAAAAAUACGAGAAUGAAGGAAUUUUGUGUGGGCACGCGUUGAAGGUAUUUGAUACCGUGGGCAUAAAGACAAUUCCUCCUGAAUACGUUAAGAGGCGAUGGACAAAAAGAGCUCGGACUGGAGACUGUUUUGAUCGGCGAGGACGGGAAAUUAUGGCUGAUCCAAAAGCAAUCAUUUCAACUCGUUAUCGGGAACUCGCUCCAGCCAUGAUUAAGGUCGCAACUCGAGCAGCAAUGUCGGAGGACACCAGCAAAGUAGUAAUCACCGUCAUAUCCGUUUUGGCAAAGAGAGUUGAGCUCCUCCUCUCAGAAAAUGAAGAGCAACCUUCGCAAAAUCAUAAAAAUCUGAAUGUAGAGGAACGUGAUAAAAUUGAAAUUGUAAAUGAAAUGGGAGAGGUAGUAGUCGCAAGAGGCAUUAAAAAACGAGCCGGUGGGAAGAGAAAUAGAGUGAUGCGAAGUUGUGUCGAUAAAUUUGACAGAGUAAAAAGAAAUUCUAGAUUGUCAAGGACUACACAGACUACGGUAUGGAUCCAUUUUUUUUUAUGGUAAACAUUUAUGAUAAAACAUUCUUAUUAUAUUUCCGUUAACUCAAGUUUAGGUACCAUUCACUAUGAAGUAACAUUAUUGUCGUGUCAAUAAUACAGGUCUCAGAAUCGGAGCCGACGUCACUUGAAUUUGAUGAACACAUGUUUUUGGGAUGCCGUUCAUCUACUGACUCUGUUUCGGUUAGUAUAAAAUGGUCAUGGCUUUAGCUUUUAUUUAGAUGUUUCUAAUAGCAUAAUUAGUUACAUCGAUGUUACAUUAUGUGAUAAUUUUGUUACGCCCGUCAUCCCUCCUGAUAUACCUAUUUUGUUUGUCUUAUACAAUUAUUUGACCAUUCUAAACUCAUAGACGCAUUCAAGGAGCCAGUCGGUGAAUGGCUCUCCAAACGCUGUUGCUCCCGAAAUCGAGGAAAGUGAAAUGGUAUGCAUACAUUUAGUAGGAAAAAUAAAGACUUUGUUAUUCGUAUCGUACAACUACUUUUUUGCUUAUUGUAAUGGUGGGCACCUAAACGCUUCAAAGCAUGUCUAUUAUGUAGUUAACGUAUGAUCGCUUCUAUAACAAAUUAUUUUGUAUUAUCCGAAGGUCCUCCGGUUGCCUAAUCAGGGGCUUCCUGCAACAGUCCCCUACAGAAUGGAUCCACCCUAAAUUUUCUAUUUUUUCCAAGCAUAACUCCGUCAGAGAUAUCUUAAUGGUCUGAUAUAUCAUUUUUUUUUAUAUUGUCUUGUCCAAUUUAGCUUUUGAAGUGAGCAAUAUAGGCACUGGUAAUGAUUUGUUGAUAGUUGAAUAGUUAUAUUAUAUAAUGUAGGAGGAGCGUGCGGCAAUUUCAAUACACCGUGACAUUGAUGCAUAUCAUGUAUUUUCACCAUCACCACAGGUGACAAACUUUUAUCGUUACAUCACAUGUUUAUGUAGUAUUGUUAAUUGGAUACUUGGACACCGUAUAUUAUUAAUCGUAUGUUCCAUUAGGUGUAUUGGCUGAUUUGCCAUCGUUAUGCAUUUCAGGAAAUAAACAACACCCAGAGUUUGCAACUAGCUGUUGGCGUCGCCCCCCGCAGAAGUAGGUUGAUGAAUGAUGUGUACGUCUAAUUUUUUAAUGACACAUUAAGUGGUUGACCAAACUAUUGAGUUCCAAUUAUUCAUUCACCAAGUCAACCUCAUUUAUUGAUGUUAGUACUUCUCUGUUGAAGAUAUUGUUCAGUUUCAAUCGCUUCCAUAUUGUCAGUUUCUUUUAAUCUACAAUUUUGAAAUGAAUUAGUGCAUGUUGACUGUAACUGACUAGAUUUUUUUUUAUUUUCAUACAUUAGUUGUCCUGAACGAGAUUUGCGGUGUUUUUCGACGAACAUUUGUUAUUGGACCUCCAUGUCGGCAAUGUUGGGAAUGCUGCAUAUCUACGUUACAAGCACUUAAUAAGCUGUUACAAGUUAUUCAUGUGCCUGUACAGGGACCUUCAAUGUUUCACUCUGUUCAAACUUAGACAAGUGGGUUACAAUUGUAUUAAUUUUCAGUAUUAGUAGUCAUCAAUUGUUCUGUAAUGGGUUGUAUAAGUUGUUAAGAAAUUAUAAAGUCGACCGAAAAUUAGAGUAACAAUUUUUGCAAUACGAUUGAACGUUCUUCUUUAUGAUUAUGGUAUUUUUCAUAGAAUACCAUAACAAAUGGCUGUCGUGAUAUAUAUAGUAUUGUCCAACAGUCAGCUCCAAUUGUAAAUAACAUCUUUAUUGGCAUGGAUGGCACUUAGAAUGGUUAUAUGUAUCAUAUAGCAAUCGGCCUUAACAAAUUGUUAUUAUUUUGUUACGACGCCUUGGUGAAUUAUUAUGUGUCAUUUAGUCACCAAAAAUUUUUCAUAAUUCACUACAUAUGGGUUACAUUUUCAGAAUGAACGGUUCGCACCAUUGACAUAAUGUAUUACAGGCAUUUCAAUAGGUAUUACAAGAAUCUUCCUAAUUUAAUUAUGAUCAAAUAACCACGCGACCACAAUAAGGUAAUAGUUGCGCAGAAGAAAAUGAUAGUGUGAGGGGACAACUAAUUUCGUUUGUCAAAACUAAGUUUUAUAAUGCAACAAAUAUUCAUAACGAAGAGUACAGAAUGAGUUACAAGCAAUUAGUUGUAUGUUACAAUAGGUUAGAACUAGUACAAGGAUCUUUAAUAGGCAUGAUUAAUAUGCAAAUAGGGGGCAAAAAGUUAAAGUGGAGAUUAUAAUGAUUAAACUUUGUCUUGCUACCUUCACGAACAUCCGACUACAUCUGUGACAGCCCCACUUUCCCCUAAGGCGAACCAAAAAGAUUAGCGGACUGCCUGCCCAACUCUCGCCAGGACUAACGGUGCAGGCAAACACGAUCUAAGACGUUUCAGAAAAAUAAUAUGCGCUCACACAAGCCGAAAUCGCAAAAUAGCAAAAUGCAAAUCAAAUCGUCGGUGAAUAGUGGGUGCCAUGUCAUAUAACUCGGAAAAACAUUCCCAACUAAAUAGGACACAUAAACGAUAUUUAAACAGUGUUAUACACAUACGUUUGUAAAUUUACAAAUACAAAAGGGAGAUAAUUGGAUCAAAAUACAUUUAGGGUUUUGCCCAAAAGGAGCUAUUCAAAUUACAUUCACAUAAGCUCAACUCGGCAACCAACAUUCAUAGCCUUUCCGAAAGUAUUCAAAAUCCUGUAAGGAAAACAAAAGGAAUAGAGUGAGUUUACGCCCAGUGAGACACUACCACUCAAGCAACGAAGAUCAUAUAAGCAGAUAGCAUUUCAUUCCAAUUCAUCUAAUAAAAGUAAGCCAAGAGUACACAUCAAUAAAGUUGGUAAAAGGAUACAGACGGCUCUCAAGAGCCCCUUUCCUUGCUUGUAUACUUGAUCGGACUUCAUUGACCCUUCGUCAAUGUUUUCGAGUAACCAACCAUAGGCUCCACUUUACUUCCAUUCCUUUCACCCAACAUACCCCUACCGGGCCCGAACUCCAUACAGUACAAAUUUGGUAAUACUCGAGUAUACCGGAAUCGAGAGUCUCAUACUACAAGAUUCCAUAUAACAGUCCCCAUGGCUCGUCAAUUUUCACGACCAAACCCUUGCCGGCUCGAUUCAAUUGACCACCAAUAGGGUUGAGCUCAGUGAUAACAGUAAGGCCGUUGGAUACUCGUCCAUACGACACCAAUUCAAGUAUUUGCAUGUAUCAUUCAAUUUCACGGUAAACAGUCAUAUAUAAUACAAAAGGGGUGAGAGCGGUCAAGUACACCCUCACUUUAAUCAGUUUCAACAGUGCAAAUAAGCAUUCAAGGCAUCCAGUUCAAAUAGACAAAGCCACACAGUAACAAGCAAGUGAGUAGUACACUCACCAAGCAAGCAAGUGAAAUUUCGUAAACUUCCGCCCAAAGAGCGUCUUUACUCACCGUCACGCCCUAAAAUAUUCAAAUAAGCACAAUAAGACUCGAUUACAAGUCAUAAACCAAUUUCACAUACUACCAAAAUAAGGUUCCAUUAGAAUGUAUAAGUACUAAAGUAAGCUAGGGGAAUCCGGGAAUGAAGUUGAGUUCUAAACCCCAAAAAAUAGUUUUUGACAUCAUUUAGCGGUUUUGCCACCAUUGGCACUACGAUUAUCGGAUGGAGGUGAAAUAUACACCAUUUCGAAGCUAACAGAUAGGGCUACAAUGUUAUAGAAGGUCACUCAGCCCAGUUUGUAGUGAAACUAGGUCAAAAGUUCAGUAUACUAAACCAGAACCGCAAAAAUAGGUGAACAAACCGCAUUCUGGUUAACGAACCGCAAUUCAGGUUACCUAAGUCCAAAUCAAGUGAUUCCAAAGCCAUCCAAAAACUAAGACACCAGGAUACAUUUAUUAAGAAGACAUUAACAACCAAAUCAGAAGUAUUCUCAAUCAAAUUAACCAAUUACAGAAGCAAUUAUUAAGUUUGGGUAGAAACAGGGCAGCAAGGGUAUUUCAGUCUUUUUAUAAGCUACGCUACUCCGAUUAGCCUGAAAUUUUUCAGGAAUCUCUAAAAUAUCAUUCCCUACAACUUUCAUGUUUUAACCCAAGGCUAAUUCGGCCUCUAACUAUGAUGAACAGUACCAGGCAGAAAGGGGGUAAUCGAAACCCUAACUUCCGAAAUUUCCGUUCAAUGCGGAAAUUUUCCGCAAAUAACUACAAUUGACACACUAAGGUUUCAUUCCAGAUCAUUUCCAAUCAUCAUCCAUGGCCACAACAUAUGAAUCAUAUUAAAUCAGAAAAAUCAUGAUUAAAUAGAAAAUGUCAUCAAUCUCAACCAAAAUCAUGAAAUAACACCUAAUCUCAUCCCUUAGGCUACCACAAGUCAUUAAUUAAACAUCAUUAGAUAGAUGAGAGGGGUUCCUUCACUACUCACCUUAGUAACCAAAGAAAAGAGACCACUUAGCACCUUAAGCUUCCAAACAACUUCACUAACCACCUCACACCCACUCACUUUAGGGUUUUUAUGGAGUAAAAGCAAGAUUAAACGGUUGGUGUGUUGAAUUUGAGCAAGAUUGGAGCAAGAAUUUGGAGAACUUUUCCCUUUCUUUUUGUUUGGAGUGGCCGGCCACAAGAAGCUUGGAAAUGAAGAGUUUUUGGUCAAUUUUUUGGUUUAUUUAGUAAAAUGGUAAAAAGGUGAAUAGUAGUCAAAAUGCAAGAUUUAAUCAUAUGGUGACACUUGUCACCCUAUUUAAUGCAUGCAUAUCACUUUGUUUCCUCUCACACCAAUCCACUUGGUAAUCUCUAAUUAUCUCUUAGCACCCGAUAAUUUAAACCCAGUAUCCAAAACUUAACCUAGUUGGCCGAAUUUUUCCGAACUUUCCGCACUAGCGGGUCCCACGUCCAGUAUACGCUCUUAAUUUCUCAAAAACUAACCGAUACUAGAAAAAUCAUCUAAAACCUAUAUUUACUCAUAAAAAUUAUCAAAAAAAUUUUCCUAAUAAAGAAAAGGCCAAAAACAUGCCAAUACAGAGAAUAAAACCUAGAAAAUGAGAAAAUUACGGGUUCUCACUACAUCUCUUGUCAUCUGUCGUAUGCCAUACAACACCUGGGAAUGCCGUCAUGUAUUAGACAAUCGGGUAUGUACCUCUGAAAGUCAUCGUCGCUUAAUUCAGUAAAGUCAGAUAGGUCCGGGUCGGAUAUAAGCAUGGGAUCUGCUAAAAUGUUAUUGACAGCAAAAUCUUUUGCAAUAGCAUGUCUUUUUGCGGCCUCAAUCUCGUGAAACCUGUGUAGCCGGCGCUCUAUUUGCAUCACUUCUCACUGUAGUCUAUGUACUACGCUUGCAUCAUUCACUUCUGGUCCUAUAACAAGUUCCGCCGAGCGUGUUCUCGGGACGCGGAGGCUAUGCUAGCGACAAAAUACCUCUAGUUUCAUUCUUCGCUCACGAAUAGGCUCCCAUAUGGGUUCAUGUUCCAUAAUGUAAUUACCAGAGGGUAGGUGCUCGUGGACACUAUCUUUGAAAAUGUGGCCAGUUAGUUCCAGAGAGUUGUUGGUGUUAAGUGGAGCUUUCCUGAAAUCGCAUUUGGUACCAUAUAAAAUUCUCCCAUCUGGUGUUUCGUACCUCCUUAGAGCAUUGGUUGGACCCGACGAUACCUUCCGUCUUUUUUUCCGAACCUUUGAUCGUGAGCUUUCAUGAGAUCUUUCGAAAUUUGGUUGCAUGACUAUGCUAAGACCCACUAUUGUUUGGAUGGAGGAAAGGAACGAUGGUCUGCCAAAAUAUUGGGGAGGAGGAGGAGAUAACAAAGAGGUAUAAAUUUGGAUGGCAGAUGGUGGGUAUAACGUUUAAAUGUGUAUGUAUGUAAACAUAUUUAGUUAUUGUGUGAUAUAAAUAGCAACACAAUGUUAUUUAGUUAUUGUGUGAUAUCAAAGCGGAUGUCCGUGGCAUCAUAGUACACAUUUAUUUUGAACACCUUUAACAACUGUCAGGGUCUGUCAUUUUAUCCUGUUCUCCACGGGAUAGGACUGAGUGUUAGUUAUGUUUUGGAUCUCAAACUUUGAACGUUAUAACUAAGAACGUACAUAGUUGUAACUAAUAACGUAUGCAUUAUAACUAUAUAUGAACAGUAUGUGAUAUUACAACUUGUGAUAUUACAAUGUGCUACAACUACUGAUAUAACAACUAGAUAAAAUAUGAUGAACCUUUGCCAUUCUCUUGUUUGUGCCAUAGCCCCUGGCCCAAACAAUAAUAACUCCCCCAGACAUAUUAAAUUUCGCAGACACUUACAAAAGUGUCUACUGAGAACAUAUAGAUGACCGUUUCGAACCCCAAAACAAUUGAUGUAGCAAGGCCUUCUCGAAUAUCUCAUUAAAUUAGCGAGAUCUUCUCGAACAUCAUGCAACCCAUUGGCUGCUAUUUGGCUUCCAAGAACUUGAUUUCUGUGUGAACACUCUAUUGAUGACACUGCAAGUGACAUUGGAGGGGGCUUGAAGACUACUAAUAACAAAUUUCAUAUUUGAGUUCAUUGCCACCGUUCAGUUGUAUGAAACGAGAAGUGUGAAGUGGAAUAUAGUGGAAAGUGUAAACAAUAUUAAAAGGGGGACGAACAAACUUUUGUUGUUGAGGGAUGUAAAACUGCAACCGCGCCCUUUUAUAGUCCGCAGGACCCUCGCAAUGUGCUAAAAUAUCGGGGCCCAACGCAUUCCAGGCCAACAAUUUCGUCCCAAAUAUGGAAGCUGUAGAGUCACAUGCAGCUGGUGAACUAUUUCAAAUCAAUUCAGACAAUAAAACAAAUUUUGCAGCUUUUAUGAUGUUCUGGUCCUGUACACCAACUUCAUGGGUCACGUGGAUACAGAGUUACACAUUGGAUUCAUGUACGUUUCACUAUGUGCAUACACAGUUACACUCUACACGUAGGUAAGAAAGCCCAAAACAACAGUUUCUUGGCCAAGAGUCAGAUGUGUAACACUCUAUGGCCUUGGUCAGUGUAUGACCCAAAUUUACUACCUCUGCGAGCGAUUCGUACCUCCUUCUGGUUCAAUACUCUAUAGGGGAUUUCAAAUUCGACCAGAAAUUUUAUGAAUGUUGUAACUAAGAACGAACAAAUCUGUAAGUAGUAAUGUUCGAAUUGUAACAAUAUAUGAACAAUUUGCGAAUCACUUCGAAAAAACGUUAGACAAUAUUUUUAGUACCGAUACUCUUGAUAAGUGUUAAGUCGCGUUGCUAAUCAGCAUCAGACAAUGAAACAAAUUUGUUAGCUUUUAUCAUGAAAUGACUUGUACUCCAACAUUAAGGGUCAGACAUUAACUCUAAAAUUAGUGCUUCUUGACCGUAACUCUAAAAUUACUUCAGACAUUAGGUGUCUAGCAGCAGAUUUGCGGUCUGUAGCACUAGAUUUUUCAGACAUAGGGUGCCUAAUUGUAUUAAAGAUGAGUAUUACACUUUAGUAUUACAUUCACUUCAAUAGGUAUUACUCCUUUAGUACAGAAACAAAGUUACAAUUGGCGGCUUGGCUUGGUACCACACGACCACAUAAUAAGUAACAGUUUCGAAGAAUAACAUGAUACUUUGUUGGGACAACUAAUUUGAAAGUGGGGUAACUAAUAUUUAAAAUGGAACAAAUUGUCAUUGCGAGAUGUACAGAUUGAAUUACAACCGGUUAGGUGUAUGUUACAAUUUAUUACAACUAAUGAAUUCGCAAUUGACAGCUUCUCGUCUUCUCUAGUUAAAACUUGUGAUAUUACAACUAGAUAUUCCCCGAUGUUACAACUAGUGAUACUACAACUAAUUAACGUCCGAUGAACCUUUCUUCUUAUCUUGUUUGUGCAAUUGCGCUUGGCACAAACAAUAAUUCCUCCCCCCGACACAUUAAAUUCAUUAGACACAGUAUUAAGUGUCUAAUGAAAAUAUAGAGAUGCUCGUUUCGAACCCCAAAACAAUUGAUGUAGCGAGGCCUUCUCGAACAUCUCAUUAAAUUAGCGAGAUCUUCUCGAACAUCCUGCAACCCAUUGGCCGCUAUUUGGCUUCCAAGAACUUGAUUUCUGUGUGAACACUCUAUUGAUGACACUGCAAGAGACGUUGGAGGGGGCUUGAAGACUACUAAUAAUAAAUUUCAUCUCUUUCUUUUCAUUGCCACCCUUCAGCGGUAUGAAACGGGAAGUGUGAAGUGGAAUAUAGUGGAAAGUGUAACAAAUAUUGAAAGGGCGACGAACAAACUUGUGUUGUUGAGGGAUAUAAAAUUGCAACCGCGCCCUUUUAUAGUCCGCAGGACCCUCGCAAUGUGCUAAAAUAUCAGGGCCCAACGCAUUCCAGGCCAACAAUUUCAUCCCAAAUGUGGAAGCUAUAGAGUCACAUGCCGCUGGUGAACUAUUUCAAAUCAAUUUAGACAAUAAAACAAAUUUUGCAGCUUUUAUCAUGUUCUGGUCCUGUACGCCAACUUUAAGGGUCACGUGGAUACAGAGUUACACAUUGGAUUCAUGUACAUUUCACUGUGUGCAUACACAGUUACACUCUACACGUAGGUAAGAAAGCCCAAAACAACAGUUUCUUGGCCAAGAGUCAGAUGUGUAACACUCUAUGGCGUUGGUCAGUGUAUGACCCAAAUUUACUGCCUCUGUGAGCGAUUCGUACCUCCUUCUGCUCCAAUGCUCUAUAGGUCCUUUCAAAUUCGACUAGAAAUUUUAUGAAUGUUGUAACUCAGAACGAACAAAGCUGUAAGUAAGAACUUACGAAUUGUAACAAUAUAUGAACCGUUUGUCAAUCGUAUGGACAAAAUGUUGAACUAUAUUUUUAGUAUCGAUACUCUUGAUAAGUGUUAUGUUAUGUCACUAAUCAGCAUCAGAAAAUAAAACAAAUUUUACAGUUUUUAUCAUGAAAUGACCUGUACUGCAACAUUAAGGGUACCGGUGUGAAUACAGAGUUACACAUCAGUGACCUUAAUUUUGACAAUGUGCAUACACAGUGAUACGCAACACGUUGUGCACAAAGCCUCAUAAUGAAUGUCAGUUUCUUAGCCCAAAGUCAGAUGUGUAAAACUGAAUGGCCUUGGUCAUGUUAUGACCCAAAAUUAGUACCUGAACGAGCACCUCCUUCUGCUCCUGAUGCUCUAUUAGAGAAGUUCUUCUCGACCUUUAAUUUUAUGAAUGUUGUAACUUAGAACGAACAAAGCUGUAAGUAAGAAUGUAUGAAUUGUGACAAUUUACAAUUAAGGUAGCCAUUCAUGCAUCAUUAUACAAUUAAUAGCUUCAAUGCUGUAGGAGUCAUCAACACAGAACAAUUGAACAACACAAGUGAUUUCAGAUGAAAGAGCAAUCAUAUAACUUCACAAAAAACUUUCAAUGUGACUUCAACAGUUUCAUUCAACUAUACGACUGCAUCUACUGUUUACUCUAUCUUCUUGAUCAACUGCCAAAAUGGAAAGUCAACAGUACAAGGAAGUCAGCUACUUUGCCUAUAGAGGAUACAUCUCCGACAAACUACAGGCGAAGUUCGUAUCAUAUGGGUCGAAAAAUUGAAAGUGGUGUCAGCGAAAAAUUACUAUUAGGAGCAACAGAAUGGCGACCGCUACCGAUAUCGUCAUGAAGGUUUUCAUUUGUCGAAUAUCUUGUUCGAUUCGGUGCACAUGAUACGGGAAAGAGUUUGGUUCAUUUUGCACUGUUCCGGGACCGUCAAAGGAGCUUUCUCUGCUUAUUGCUUGUCGAUUAGGUGAGGGAGGGCAGUAGUUAGCCUGAACUUGCUCAGGACUUCUCCCUAUUGGAUGACACCAAGCAAAAAAAGCACAAAUUUUUCCUUCACAGACGAAGUACAGCAACCCCUUCGUUGGUUUCUGUGACUCCACGAUCUUCAGCCCAGCCCUUUUUUCGCAGUGAUAGUACCGAUAUUGGUACCUUAACUCAGUAGAUGCGCCACCAAUAUUGCUCGAUGAAGACAUUUGAACGAUCUAAAACUCCUUUGGGGCAUAUAAGCUGAAGUGUUUUAACCUUUUGAUGAAGUAGUGGUUGUGUGUCGAUCAGGAGCUAACACGGACCAACACAUAGGUGGGAGUUAAUAUGUGGCAAGAAAGGAUAUAAGCUGGUAACAUAAUUUUGGAGAAUUAGUAAGUAUGGAAUAAGUAACAUGUUUUUUGGAAACAAACACAAAAGCCGAAGUACACAUAAUGAAUAAAAAAUGUUGGGUGUACUUUUAUAGUAAUUAAUACAAAUUUUUGAAGUAAAUACUUGUUUGUUAGGUUAUGUGUUCGGGUCGAUAUUGUUUAAAAAUGCACAAGAUGUAACUUUACAUGUGCACUGUGUCUUUAGUCUAUAACUAGGACCAAGAGUGAUGUAUUUAGGUGACGGGAUUGAAAGCUGGUGAGUAACAUGCUUUUUUAUACAACUAUAUCCAUGUGAAUUCGGGUUGUUUAUGUACAAAGCGUAAUGGCACAAGUAGUACCGACACCUUUGAUGAGUGUUACGUCGACUUAUUAACCAGUUACGGAAGAUUGCAGCUUUUAUCGUCAAAGGAACUUAACAAUUAACUCAGCGGGUCAUGUGCUUUGAAUGAGGGUCCCUCCCUUUGUUGUUUCCAGCGUACAACUUGCCAAUUUUACAGUAUUUGGUGUAUAUUCAAAUGUUUGCACUUCAAUGCACACCUAUUGAUUAUUUUGUCACACACUUCAGGGUUGAUAAAAAUUAUAGAAAUUUUUAAAUAGUCGUCUUGGCUCCCUGGGUUUUAAUAUUUGAUGUACAAGUAGUUCACCUGUCUUUACUCCUUCUUUAAAGAAGUGAUACACCCAUGUAGUAAUGGUAGUUACUACAAUAAGCUUAGCAGUGGUCAAUUUAUUCGGGUAAGCACCUAUGAUGUCUCGGGUUGUUGAUUAGAUGUAAGUUUGGUCCUGCUUCAACAAUAAGUAACAUACAUAUAGAUAACAUAUCAUUACACGGGUGAAGAAUACCCGUUCAAUUAUUACAAGUAGUUUCCAUGUACUUACGCUUUGUUUUUUUAAAAAUACAUUUCGUGUAGGGUUAUUAAUGACAAUAAAUGGUGUCUUUGGUCCAAAAGGUAGUACCAAUUUGCAAGGAUACAUAUUUUGUCAAAGGUUCCGACUUAAAGGAUGCAUCUUAAUGUCCAAAAAUAUUAAUUUGUCAUAUUUUAUUGAAAAUGUCAACACAAAAUUUCAUCUACACCUGUUAGCGCCAUUUAGUGACUAUUACGGGCUAUGUAUAUGAUAAUUUAAUCUAACAAUGCACGUGCACUAACUUUAUAUGUGCUCUGUGUAACAAAUUGUGAACUACGAAAGCUAUUCUUGGGUCCAAACGUGACAUGUAUGGACCCCAUACUGGGUCCAAAUUCAUAUAUGCUCUGUUGUAUGGAUCCCAUACUUUUUUAUGUGCUCUGUUGUAACUUUAUAUGUGCGCUUUGUAACAAAUAUUGAACUAUGAAAGCUAUUCUUCGGUCCCUAAUUUAUGGGGAGACAUGUAUGGACCCCACACUGCAAUGUGUUCGUCAUCCAAAUUCAACAACAGGUACACUUAUGUACAUAUGAUGACUAUCAAUUUAAAAGUUUCAAUAAUCUACCACAAGGUUAAUAUAGUCCUUCUCAAUAUACCCCAAAACAUAAUCUACACCAAUCCAAAAGCUACAUUAGACACAUGACAAUGUAUAAAUGGGAGAAGAUCCAAUUUUGUCAAACUACAGUCACAUCUGACUUCAUGAAAUUCAUGCAUUACCAACAUUCAAUUGCACCCAUUUUAGUACUUGCAGGUUUGCAAAGCUGUCCGAAAACUUAGAGUUCUCCGCUGAGGUACACAAUCGAGCUGUGUACAACACUCGAUACUUGCCAACAUUUUCCUUUCCAAUUUAAACGUAAUAAGUAUUUUCAAAAGCAAAGGCAACAACUAUAAUGUGAGAACCCGUGGAUUUUCUUAUUUUCUAGAUUUUAUUUUAUUUAAUUGCACGCUUUUCUGUAUUUUCUUUAUUAGAAAAAUUUUCUAGAUAAUUUUUAUGAGUAAAUAUAGUUUUUAGAUGAUUUUUCUAGUAUCGGUUAGUUUUUGAGAAAUUAAGAGCGUAUACCGGACGUGGGACCCACUAGUGCGGUAAGUUUGAUAAAAUUCGGCCAAUUAGGUUAAGUUGUGUAUACCGAGUUUAAUUUAUCAGAUGUUAAGAGAUAAUUAGAAGUUACCUAGAUGGAUUAUUAUUGGAGAGACAAAAGGAUAGAGAUGUAUUAAAUGGAGUGACAAGUGUCACUUGGAGGUUAAUUCUCAACUUAGUCAAUUUUGAUCAACUUUCUUGCUUUACCAAUUUAAGUAAAAAUUUCCAAAAAUCAUCCUCAUUUUAAAGCUUCCUUGGCCGAACCUCUUGCUCCAAAAAAGAAAGGAAAAGCUCUCCAAUCUCUUGCUCCAAACUUGCUCAAUCCAACAAACCAACCGUUUAAUCUUGCAUUUACUCCAUAAAAACCCUUAAGUGAGUGGUUGUGAGGUGAUUAGUGAAGUUGUUUGGAGGAUUAAGGUGCUAAGUUGCUCUUGUUCUUGGGUUGUUAAGGUGUGUAACUAAGGGACCUUUCUUGCAACUCAAUAAUGCUUAAUUAUUGACAUGUGUGAGGUGAAGUGAUGAUUUUAGGUGUUGUUUCAUGACUUUUGGUAGAAUUUGGUGCAUUUUCUAUUUAAUCAUGAUUUUUUUGUUUUCAUAUGAUUACUAUUGUGUGGCCAUGUAUGAUGGUUGGAAAUGAUCUAGAAUGAAGCUAGAAUGUGUAAAUUGUGGUUGUUUGCGGAAAAUUUCUGCAUUGAACGGAAAAAUUCGGAUUUAGGGUUUCAAUUCAACCAUUCUGCCCGGUACUUUUCCUCAUAGUUAGAGGUCGAAUUUGUAACAGCCCCACUUUCCCCUAAGGCGAACCAAAGGGGUUAGCGGGCUGCCUGCCCAGCUCUCGCCAGGACUACGGAUCAGUUCACAUCGAUUUAAUACGUUCCAGAACAUACCCACGCGCGUAAACAAGUCAAAAUCACCAAAUAAAAAAAAUGAAAAUCGAAGCCGAUGAUGAACAGUACCGUCCACAUCAGAAUCCGAAUUUGGUCCUGUUCAUUCCCGCCAAAAUUUUUCCUUUGCCAUUUGAAAUGUAGAUCAGUCCGGAUUCCAACCAAACCUCAACCAAGCAUAUAUAUACAUCGAAAUCCAACAUUUACAACCAAAUGGCGUGCCAAAAACCACUCAUUACGAAUAUACAUGUUCGGUUUGCUAAUCAAAAAAAAUGAACCCAAUACACAUUAGAGUUUCAUUCAAAGAGCUAUCCAAAAGAUACAUUUACAUGAGCUCAACUUGACAACCAACUAACACAACCUUUUCCAAAAGUGGUCAUUUCCUGUAAGGAAAACAAAUGGAACGGAAUGAGCUUAAGCCCAGUGAGUUACUACCACAUAAGCAACAAAGAGCAUAUAGCAUAACCUUUCACUUCAAGUACACAAUUAAAGAAUAAAAUAAGUCGGUAAAAGGAUACGGACGGCUCUCAAGAGCCCAUUUCCACGCUUACAUUCUUGAUCCAAUCUCAUUGACUCUCCGUCAACGUUUAUGAGUACCAACCGUAGAACCCACUUCACUCCCAUCCCUUCCACCAGACAUACCCCAACCGGGCCCGCACUCCAAUCAGUAGCUUUUGGUAAUACUCGAGUUUACCGGAAUCAAGAGUCUCAUUACUACAAGAUUCCCCAGUACAGUCCCCGUGGCAUGUCAAUUUUCUCGACCAAGCCCUCGCCGGCUCGAUUCAAUUGACUACCAACGGGGUUGAGCUCAGUAGUACAGUAAGGCCGUUGGAUACUCGUCCAAACGACACCAAAUCAGUUUUUCAUGAAGUGAAUUCAAUAUCUCAUAUAGCAAGUGCAGUAUAUCAGUGAAGCGGUAAACAGUCAUUAACGUAUCACAAGGGGUGAGGGCGGUCAAGUACACCCUCGCCUCAAUCAAUUCCAAUAGCCAAAUAACCCUUCAAGGCAUCAAAAUCACAUAUGUUAUUCUUGGUUUUGAUGAUCACAAAGGACUUUGAAAUGUUUAUUUAACUCUCUUCAAAUAUAAGUGUUUUUUACCUAUCAAAGAAUCAGGUACGAAUAUGUCAAGAAAUGAAAAUCAACCAAAAGAAGAAGCAAAAACAGGACACUCAUGUCGGACGUCCUAAGGAAUUGGUCGGACGUCCGAAAGGAUGAAGAUCAUUAAGAAGAAGAUUCUGUCGGACGCUCGUGAGGAAGCAUCGGACGUCCGGAUAGAUCGGACGUACUCCUCGGACGCACAUCGAACGUGUCGGACGUCCUAAAAAUUCCACAAAAUGUUGAUGACUCUCUGCCAAGACUCUGUCGGACGCUCGUAAGGAAGCAUCAGACGUCCUGAAGGAUCGGACGCAUGCUUCGGACGCACAUCAAUCUCAUCGGACGUCCUAAAAAUUCCACGAAGAUUUGAUAACUCUCUGGACGACGUUCGGACACAGAAGCUCGGACGAUAAAAUACCAUCGGACGUCCGAACAACAACUUGACUGAUUUUCGGACGAUGGGAUCGGACGAUGACUAAGACGUCGGACGUCCGACAGCUCCAACGGCUAGCUGACUCUUCAUCUGCCUUCUAUCCGUUGGAAGUAUUAAUGAAGCCCAUUUUUGGCUCCCUUUAAAUACAAACGAUUCUGAUUCAGAAGAGGACUUUUGCACACUUUGUUUACAAGAUCUCAAGAGAUAUUUUAGCUAGAAAAUAGUCUCCAAAGCUAGAUUUGUUCUCCAAGUGGUGUGAAUUUCUUGUGAGCUUUUCUCUUGUGGUUGAAAGUUUCUUUAGUGUAACUUUUUUGAGGGUUAUCUGAGUGAUUGUAAAACUUCUUAGCUUGACUAAGUGAGGCUUAGGGCAAGGAGGAAGUGCUCCCUCCAUUGUACAUCUAGUUGAUCAUCUUUCAUCAAAGAGAAGUUGCUCAACCUAGUGAUUGGUCUUCAAGUUUGAGGAAAGCUUGGUAGACAAUCGGUUUGAUAUUCUAUCUUAUUCUUUUUGUUUAAUAAAACUCUCAUUGCUUAUCUAUACUUGUUUUUCGAAUCAAUAUUGCUCUCUUCUUCUAAUCUACUUGAUUGAUCAUUAUUAGAAAAGAAGGUAAAUUUUAUUAAGCAAAAAUUGCAUAAAUUUGAUUAAGAUUUUAAUCAACCUAAUUCACCCCCCCUCUUAGGUUGUCUUUGGGCCUUACAAUUGGUAUCAGAGCUUGGUCUCCUAGAGAUUAAGCUCUAACGGCUUGGAGUAAAGAUGACAACCAGUCAUGCUAUGUUUGUUGAGGGCAAUCUGUUACUAGGCCUCCCAUGUUCAGUGGCUCCAAUUAUGUUAGCUGGAAAGAAAGGAUGAUUAUCUUUUUGCAAUCUAUUGAUAUUGAGCUAUGGUUUAUUGUGAGUGAAGGACCGCAUGAAGCUAACUUUCUUGAUGCAGAUACAGGGUUGCUUCGGCCAAAAAGAAGAGCUGAAAUGAAUGCUCAAGAUAGGACUAAUCUCACACUGAAUGCCAAAGCCAUGAAUGUUCUUUAUAGUGCCUUAGAUUCAAAUGAAUCAAUUAGAGUAAAAGGCUGUAAAUCGGCCAAAGAAAUGUGGGAUAAGCUAAGAGAAAUCCAUGAGGGUGGUGACAACGUGAGAGAACAGAAAAAGGCUAUCUUGGUCACAAAGUAUGAAUCAUUUAAAAUUGAACCUCUUGAGGAUAUUGACAAAAUGUAUUGCAGGUUCAAUGACUUGAUCAAAGAUCUCGAGGUGUUGGGCAAAGAGUACACCUUGGGAGAGAAGAACAGGAAAAUUCUCAAUGCAUUGGGCAAAGAAUGGGAAAAUAAAGUGACUGCAAUAGAGGAGGCUAAGGAUUUAAAUUCUGUGCCUAUUGAAUCUCUCAUUAACUCACUAACCUCUUAUGAGUUGAAACUGAAAUCUAAAGUGCAGGAGGAAGAGGAUGCUAGAGCAAAGAGAAAUAUUGCUCUGAAGACUACUCAAAGUGAAGAUGAUCCAGCUCACUUGGAUGAUGAAGACUCGGAUGGUGAUGAUAAUGAUCUUGCUCUCAUCACAAGAGGUUUCAAGAGAAUCUUGAAUAAAAGGAAGUUUAGAAAGGGAGGACCUAGCAAUCAAUUUCAAAAUUAUUCAUCAAAUGCAAGGAACAAAGGAAAACAAGAAUUCAACAAGAAGCUAGUGGAUAAAUGCUAUGAAUGUGGACAGCCUGGACACUAUGCAAACGAAUGCCCCAUGAAGAAAAUGAAAGAUGGGAAAGCUGAUCGAAAACCAAGAUUCAACAACUUCCAGAUUACUUGGAAUGAAUGCAACUCUGAAGGGGAAGUUGAAGAAGAGGAAGAAUCAACUCAAAUGGCCUUCAUGGCUAUUGGAGAUAAUGAGGUAACUUCCAUACACUCUCAAUCUGAAAGUGAUGAUGAAGAAGAUGAUGAUCUUGAAUCCUUUGUUGAAAAACUGCAUAAUGCCUUGAAGGAAUCUUAUGAUAAAAACAAGCAGCUAAAACAGAAAAUUACUUUUCUCAUUCAUGAAAAUACAAGUCUUCUUCAACAAAAUAAGCAACUAAAGACUGACAAUGAUUGUCUUGUAAGAGCCGGAUUUAAUGUUCAAAAUGAGCUUGAUAGAAAGACAAAUAUUUGUAGAAUGCUGAAGGAAAGACAUGGUGAUUUGAAAAAAAAGAUGGACAACUUGGAUGACACUUUGAAAGCAAGAAAACAAGAUUUUCUCAAAAAGAACAUGUCAUCUACCUUUCUUACUGCUCAUCAAAGAACAUUAGCACGCAACAAAAAUGCACAUGGUUUCACUACAUAUAGAAGAAAUGGAUUGAGAUAUGUCAAACCAGUACAUGUUAAGGACUCUUCCAUUAUGUGUGAUUUUUGUUGUCAAAAAGGGCAUUUGAAAGGAGAUUGCUAUGUGAAAAGAAAUCUGAACAGAGGGAUAAAAUGCAUAUGGUUAGUGAGAUACAAUGCUAACUAUUGUGGACCCAAAAAUUAAAAAGGGUACCAAACAUUUUCUCUUUUCAGGAAAAAGGCUCAAACAAGUCCAAAUGGUUUAUUGAUAGUGGCUGCUCAAGGCAUAUGACCGGUGAUCCCUCUUUGUUCAUAAAGCUAAAAUCAAAAUCAAGUGGAAAGGUGACAUUCGGUGAUGAUGUGAAAGCUAAGACAAUUGGAAUAGGUGAUGUUGGUAAGGAUGGUGAAACUUUUGUUCAUAAUGUGCUCUUAGUUGAUAAUUUAGGUUAUAACUUGCUUAGUGUUAGUCAAUUGUGUGAUAAAGACUUGAAUGUGUUGUUUAAAAAGCAUGAAUGCAUUGUGCUUGAUUCCAAAUAUAAUGUUGUGUUCAAAGGUAAGAGGUUUAACGACAUAUAUAUUGUGGUUCUUGAUAAAAUUGAUUCUUCUAGCUUCAAAUGUCUUAAAGCUUCAAAUGAAGAUCCUUGGUUGUGGCAUAGGAGACUUUGUCAUUUUAACAUGGAUUUACUAAAGGAGAUUUCGAAAAAGGAGCUGGUUAGAGGCUUGCCAAAAAUCUGUUUUGAAAAGGAUAAAAUUUGUGAUGCUUGUCAAUUUGGAAAGCAAACAAAAGUUUCUUUUAAACCAAAGAAGUGUGUUUCAACUUCUAAACCUUUAGAACUCUUGCAUCUUGACUUAUUUGGUCCUACUCAAAUCACUAGUUUGGGAGGUAAGAAAUACUGCUUUGUGAUUGUGGAUGAUUAUUCUAGAUAUACUUGGGUGAUAUUUCUUGCUCAUAAGGAUGAUGCCUUCAAGAAUUUCACUUCAUUGUUUGCUAAAGUGCAAAAUCUGCUUGGCUUAAAAAUUGUUAGGAUUAGAAGUGAUAAUGGAACGGAAUUCAAGUAUUGUGGUUUUCCAGAUUUCUGUGAUCAUAAUGGCAUAACACAUGAGUUUUCAAUUGCUAGAACUCCACAACAAAAUGGUGUUGUAGAAAGGAAAAAUAGGACACUACAAGAGGCUGCUAGAACUAUGUUGAGUGAAUGUAGUUUGCCAAAAUACCUUUGGGCUGAAGCGGUAAACACUGCAUGUUAUGUGAUGAACAGAAUCCUUUUGAGACCCAUCUUGAAUAAGACUUCUUAUGAACUGAUUUUUGAUAAAAAACCUACGGUUGGAUAUUUCAAAAUCUUUGGUUGUAAAUGUUUUAUUUUAAAUUUAAAGGAACAUCUUGGUAAGUUUGAGAAAAAAUCUGAUGAAGGAAUAUUUUUGGGUUAUUGUGAGAACAAAAGAGGAUAUAGAGUCUUUAAUAGAAGGACUCUUGUGAUAGAAGAAGCCAUUCACAUAACAUUUGAUGAAAAUAAUGAUGAUAAUUCCAAAAGGUCGUGUGAGGAUGAUGAUGUAGGUGUUCGUGAUGGAAUGGAAAAGCUGAAAAUUGGUGAUGAAGGAAUUUCUAAACCAGCAACAAUGGAAAUGAUGGAUGAAGCUCAUAAUGAUCAAGAAAAGGGUGAUGAAGAUGAGAAUGAUGAUUCAGUCAAAGAUCUUCCCAAUGCUUGGAAAUUCAGCCAAAAUCAUCCAAGAGAGCUUAUAAUUGGUGAUCCAUCCGAAAAGGUAAAGACUCGUUCUUCAUCUAGAAUAUUGAUAGACAAUUUUGCUUUAGUUUCUCUUUUUGAACCCAAAAAUAUCAAUGAUGCUUUAAAGGAUGAUAACUGGAUUUUGGCUAUGCAAGAGGAACUUAACCAAUUUGAGAGAAAUAAGGUUUGGACACUUGUUGAUAGACCUCAAAAUCAACCUAUCAUUGGCACAAAGUGGAUAUUUAGAAAUAAAUUGGAUGAUAAAGGUGUUGUUAUAAGGAAUAAAGCCAGAUUAGUUGCUAAAGGAUAUGCACAAGAAGAAGGAAUUGAUUUUGAUGAAACAUUUGCUCCCGUAGCAAGAUUAGAAUCUAUUAGAAUGCUUCUUGCUUUUGCUUGUUUCAAAGGUUUCAAAUUGUUUCAAAUGGAUGUUAAAAGUGCCUUUUUAAAUGGUUUUAUUGAUCAAGAAGUAUAUGUGGAUCAACCUCCCGGUUUUGAAAAUACAAAAAUUUCCAAGUCAUGUGUUUAAACUAUCUAAAGCAUUAUAUGGUUUAAAACAGGCUCCAAGAGCUUGGUAUGAAAGAUUAAGUGGUUUCUUGAUUGAAAAUGGUUUCAAAAGAGGUUUUGUGGACACCACACUGUUUACUAAGCAAGUGUUAAAUGACCUUCUUAUUGUGCAAAUAUAUGUUGAUGAUAUUAUUUUUGGUGCUACUAAUGAGUAUCUAUGCAAGGAUUUUUCCACCACUAUGCAAAGUGAAUUUGAAAUGAGUAUGAUGGGAGAAUUAAAUUUCUUCCUUGGACUUCAAAUACAUCAAGCCCUUGAGGGAAUUUUUAUAAAUCAAGCAAAAUAUACCAAGGAAUUGCUGAAAAAGUUUGGCAUGGAAGACUCAAAGCAAGUUGGAACUCCAAUGUGCACUUCUACAAAACUUGACAAAGAUGAAGAAGGUAAUCAUGUGGAUGAAAAGCACUAUAGAGGUAUGAUCGGAAGCUUACUCUAUUUAACCGCAAGUAGACCUGAUAUUAUGUUUGCUGUUUGCUUGUGUGCUAGAUUUCAAUCUUGUCCAAAAGAAUCACAUUUAAAUGCUGUUAAAAGAAUUUUUAGGUAUUUGAAAGGUACAUUAGACUAUGGUCUUUGGUAUGCUAGAUCUUGUGAAUUUGCUUUAUAUGGAUAUUCGGAUGCGGAUUUUGGUGGUUGUCGUGUGGACAGAAAAAGUACUAGUGGAACUUGUCACUUUCUUGGUAAUUGCUUAGUUUCUUGGUUUAGCAAAAAGCAAAAUGCAAUAUCUUUGUCUACAACCGAAGCGGAAUAUAUUGCCGCUAGUGCAUGUUGUGCUCAACUUUUAUGGAUGAAGCAUACCUUGAAUGAUUUUGGAUUGUUAUAUGACUGCAUGCCUAUAUUCUGUGAUAAUACUAGUGCUAUUAAUUUGACCAAAAAUCCAAUUCAACAUUCUAGGACAAAACAUAUAGAUAUAAAGCAUCACUUUAUUCGAGAUCUUGUUCAAAAAUGUGAAAUUUGUGUAAAUUAUGUUUGUUCUAAAGAUCAAUUUGCUGAUAUUUUUACCAAAGCUUUGCCAUUAGAUCAGUUCAUUCAUCUAAGAUCAAAAUUGGGAAUAAUCGAAAAAUCAUCUUAAAAUUUCUCAAAGUCUUCGGACGUCCGAAAGAAGAUGAACGGACGUCCGAUAAUGUUCUUCAGCUAUUUUUUCCAGAAAACACCUGUUCGGACGAAGAUGUCGGACGCACGACUUCGUUCGGCCGUCCGACAGUGCAACGGUACACUUUUUAAAGUAACUUUCUUCCUCAUUUGCUUCAAACUCUUGUUCUUCUAUUUCCUCUCGGACGAGAACUCUCUCAUCUCUUACUCUCAAAUUCAUACCAUUCUGAAGCUCUCAUUCCAAAAUUGACUCAACCAAAACUUUUCCUGAUCGAUUGCGACUCGUUUCUCCUGAUCAUUUCACCGAAUCGCAUAACAUUUCGUAAAGUCCCAAAUUUCCCUCUAAACCCUACUUUCUCAUAACCGCUCUGUCAAAUCUUGUUCAAGGCCUUUUUGUCCCAUAAUUUCUGUGCGAUUCACUUCCCUACUACUGUGUGCAUCAUUUGCAUCCUUCAUUCCACACAUUUCACACAAUGGUGAAUCUAAGAGGAGGAAAGGUUACUGCCGGACGCAAGCAUCCACUCAGGGAUGAGGAUGAGGAUCUUCCUACGGUCAAACGUUCAUCCAAACGCUUCAAGAGAGGAGCCGUAAAAGGUCAAAUGUCACGGCCUACUCCACAACCCACCUCUCAGCCUGAAUCUGGACAGGGAACCUCUUCUCAACCGCCUCCAAAAUCAGCCACACUCCCUACAUUCUUUGAUGAUGCUGCAAAAGACAAACACUCCUGGAUAUCCCAGAAAGGUGUCAUCCCUCAACGAAUUGUAAACUCUUCUGAAUUUCGCCACAUAGGUUUAGAAUCCAUUCUGAGUCUAUUUGCUUUCCAGAAAUGGUCACAUUUCGUUUCUAUGCCCAAUGUUUAUUACCCUGAAAUGCUGUAUCAAUUCUUUGCUAAUCUUAGGAAAGGCACUGAUCAGACUGAGAUUAUGUCCAGGGUUAAUGGGGUAGACUUAGUCUUUGAUUCUGAAAUUGUGAAUGAUAUUUUAAAAACUACUAUUGAACCUGGAUGCAAGGAUAAAAUUGCAAAUUUCUUUUCCUAUGAAGAGCACCCUACUGCUGAUAAUCAUUUUGAUGGGGCUAAAAUGUUAACUUAUUUUAAAAGAAGUUUUUCCUCCCCUGCUGAUGCUAAACUGAAUGAUCUUGCUCCUGUGAAUCUAAUUGCCUUUUCAAUCAUUUCAAACCUGCUUGUACCCACUGAUGGCCAUAGAACUGAUGCAAACAAAAUGGAGUUGUAUCUCUUUUACUGUUUUCGAGAAAAAAUUCGUAUUGAUUUUGGUUUUGUCAUGUGCAAGUUUUUACUUCGCUAUGCCACUGAUUCUCGCAGAAAAUUAUCUUAUGGAAAGUUUCUUCAAAGGAUUUUUGAGUUUUACAAAGUUCGAAUUCUAGGUGUUUGUCCCAAAGAAGCAUCUUCUUAUGCCUUUACCAAAGGAUAUUUUGAAAGGAAAAAUCUUGUUUUUAAAGAUAAUCUGUGGGCUUAUAAGGGGGCAUCAUCUAGUGAACAGAGGUCUAAGACUACACAUGAUCCUUCAUCUGUUUCACUCACUCCCAUUCAUCCCAGGAAGUCUGCCACUAAAGCAGCUUCCUCCUCCAAUGAUGAAGUGAUUGAGUUCCUUCGUGAACUCAAACAGCAUGUUCUUCUUCUAGAACAUGGUCUAAUGCUCACCAUGUCCUCUGAGAAACAAACAGCCUUCCUAGACAAAAAGAACCUUCUUUUUCCCCCACCUGUGGUUGAGGAAGUUUCCCAUGACAAAGAACCACACCCCACUGAUCCAAGCUCAUCAAUUCCAGACCCUGGUUCAUCAACUCCUGUGACUCCUCAUGGCCCUUCCACAUCAGAUAAACGCAAGGCACCAGUUGACGAGGCUGCUGCAGAUGAUGAAGAAACUGAAGAGGAGGACCUCUCCCAAUAUCAGCUCUCUCGAAGAACACCUGGAUCCACAUAGUUCACCAUUUAGGACAUUUGCAUUUUAUUUAUUUCAUGUGUUUGUGGUGUUCAACAAUGGAUAUGUAGAUGAAUUCAACAUUUGGUUAUGAUUAUGUUUAUGUUUCUUUUGGUACUGUUUGAUAGAUGAUUAAGUAUUUUGAAUGAUGAUUGUGUGGAUGUAAUGAAUUUUGUGGAUGAUUGUGUGGAUGUUUAAGUAUUUUUGAAUGAUGUUUGUGGAUGAGAUGGAUGUGAUUGAUUGCCCUUUUGUGAUGACAAAAAGGGGGAGAGGACUGGAUUGAUUGAUGAUUGAUGAUUGAUUGAUUGAUGAUUUGAUCAAAUUUGGAUUGACUGAUGGAUUGAACUGGUAAAAUGUUGGAUGUUGGCUGCUUAAUUGUCAUAUUUUGGAUAAUUGUUUAAUUCGGUUGGGCAGCCAAGUGAGGGGGAGUUUUUCAAAAUUUUUUUAUGAUUCACUAAGUAAGGGGGAGUUCUUGUCUAUUGAGAAAGAGGGAGUUUUUAUUGCAAUCAUCGAAUCUCAUUUCAAACUUUUGUUUUGUCAUCAUCAAAAAGGGGGAGAAUGUUAUUCUUGGUUUUGAUGAUCACAAAGGACUUUGAAAUGUUUAUUUAACUCUCUUCAAAUAUAAGUGUUUUUUGCCUAUCAAACAAUCAGGUACGAAUAUGUCAAGAAAUGAAAAUCAACCAAAAGAAGAAGCAAAAACAGGACACUCAUGUCGGACGUCCUAAGGAAUUGGUCGGACGUCCGAAAGGAUGAAGAUCAUUAAGAAGAAGAUUCUGUCGGACGCUCGUGAGGAAGCAUCGGACGUCCGGAUGGAUCGGACGUACUCCUCGGACGCACAUCGAACGUGUCGGACGUCCUAAAAUUCCAUAAAAUAUUGAUGACUCUCUGCCAAGACUCUGUCGGACGCUCGUAAGGAAGCAUCGGACGUCCUGAAGGAUCGGACGCAUGCUUCGGACGCACAUCAAUCUCAUCGGACGUCCUAAAAAUUCCACGAAGAUUUGAUAACUCUCUGGACGACGUUCGGACACAGAAGCUCGGACGAUAAAAUAUCAUCGGACGUCCGAACAACAACUUGACUGAUUUUCGGACGAUGGGAUCGGACGAUGACUAAGACGUCGGACGUCCGACAGCUCCAACGGCUAGCUGACUCUUCAUCUGCCUUCUAUCCGUUGGAAGUAUUAAUGAAGCCCAUUUUUGGCUCCCUUUAAAUACAAACGAUUCUGAUUCAGAAGAGGACUUUUGCACACUUUGUUUACAAGAUCUCAAGAGAUAUUUUAGCUAGAAAAUAGUCUCCAAAGCUAGAUUUGUUCUCCAAGUGGUGUGAAUUUCUUGUGAGCUUUUCUCUUGUGGUUGAAAGUUUCUUUAGUGUAACUUUUUUGAGGGUUAUCUGAGUGAUUGUAAAACUUCUUAGCUUGACUAAGUGAGGCUGAGGGCAAGGAGGAAGUGCUCCCUCCAUUGUACAUCUAGUUGAUCAUCUUUCAUCAAAGAGAAGUUGCUCAACCUAGUGAUUGGUCUUCAAGUUUGAGGAAAGCUUGGUAGACAAUCGGUUUGAUAUUCUAUCUUAUUCUUUUUGUUUAAUAAAACUCUCAUUGCUUAUCUAUACUUGUUUUUCGAAUCAAUAUUGCUCUCUUCUUCUAAUCUACUUGAUUGAUCAUUAUUAGAAAAGAAGGUAAAUUUUAUUAAGCAAAAAUUGCAUAAGUUUGAUUAAGAUUUUAAUCAACCUAAUUCACCCCCCCUCUUAGGUUGUCUUUGGACCUUACAACAUAUAGCAAAGCCACAUUGUAACAUUCAAGUGAGUAGUAUACUCACAACUCAAGUAGGUGAUGUUUCAUGCACCGUCGUUAAAAGGACGUCGUGAACCCCCGUCACGUCCUAAAACAUGUAAACAAAUACAAUGAGACUCGAUAACGAGUCAUAAAGCCAUACCAAUCACAACCCCAAUAGGGUUUCAUAAACAUAGACAAGUAGCAUAGGUAACCAGAAAUUUCAGCAAUGUAACUAACUUGACCUUGACAAAACAGUUUUCGUCCUAAUUUUGCGGUAAUGGCUCAAAUUGCGCUACGCUUAUCGGAUGAGGGUGAAAGAUCCACCAUAUCGAAGCUAAAAGACAGGGCUACAACAAUGUAGAAGGCCACUCAGUCCAAAUCCUAGCACAACUAGGUCAAAUAUGCAAAAUACCAAACCAGAACCUUAAUUGCAGGUUUACAAAUUACACUAUGCUGUAAUUAGUCCAACUCAGUCUAUACAAGUCCAAAUUCAUUGAUUCCAAAGGCAUAUGGUAGCUAAGACAUCAAGAUACAUUUCAUCAGAAGACCUCAACAACCAAAUCUAAAGCAAUUCCAGUCAAAACAGCCAAUUACAGGCGCAGUUCGGCCAUCCUGAAGAACCCAGAACAGCAACAGUAAAAUCGACUUUUCUCACUCUACACAACUCCGAUGAACCUGAAAUUUUACAGACACCUCAAACACAUCAAUACCUACAACUUUCAUGUUUUAAGCCAAGGCCAAUUCGGUCUCUAACCAUGAGAUAAAAAACCGGACAGAAUUGGGGAUAUAAAACCCUAACUUUCUCAAAUUCCUUCCAAACCCAAAAUUGCUUGCAAUUACCAAUCAUGUACACCUACUAGAGUCAUUACCCUUCAUUACCAACCAUCAUAGAUAACCACAACAUCAUGAUCAAAUUAAACCAGAAAAUACACCAUUAAAUUGAAAACUUCAUCAUUUCAUCCAAAAGCAAGAAAUAAAUCACAAAUGUCAUCACUUUAGCUUCCACUAAGCACAACUCAAGCUUCAUUAAGUGUAGGAGGAAGUUCAAACACCACUUACCUAGAACACAAGAGAGGGAGAGUUGUAGGACACCUUAGCUUCCUUGAACACUUCCACAAAAUCACUUACUAGCACCAAAUGGAGGGAUUUUAUGUAGUAGAAACAAAUUUAAGCAAUUGGUUUGGAUGAUUUGCACUAGAUGGAAGCUUGAAAAUUGGAGAAGUUUUCUUUCUUUUCCUAGAGAGAGAGCCGGCCAAGAAGUUGAAGACAAGAAUGAAUUUUGUGUGAUUUUUGAGAUAUUUAAGCAAUUGGUCAAAAGUCAAGAAAAUGAAUAGUUGUCCUACAAGUGCCACCACUCACCAAGUGACACUUGUCACUACAUUUAAAGCAUUUCUAUCCUUUAAGUCUCUCUCACAUCAAUCACAUCUCAUCCUCUACUUAUCUCUUAACACCCGAUAAAUUUCACUCAGUAUCCGAAACUCAACCUACUUGGCCGAAUUUUUCCGAACUUUUCGCACUAGUGGGUCCCACGUCCAUUAUAUAUCCGUAAUUUUUCAAAAACUCUCCAAUGCUUGAAAAAUUAUCUAAAAACUAUAAUUACUCAUAAAAUUCACCAAGAAAAUUUUCCUAAGCCAGAAAAUGCGGAAAACAUGCCAUUAAAGGAAAUAAACCCUAGGAAAAUUAUUAAGAGGAAUUUACGGGUUCUCACAGAAUUAGCCUUGGAUUAAAAUAUGAAAGUUGUAGAUAAUGAUAUUUUAGAGUUGCCUACAAAAUUUCAGCUCAAUCGGAGCAACGUAAACUGUGAAAAGACCGAAAUACCUCUACUACCCUGUUUCUAUCAGAAACUGAUAAUCAGCUUCUGUAAUUGGUUAUUUUGACCAGGAAUACUACUGAUUUGGUUGUUGAUGUCUUCUUAAGAAUUAUACCCUUGUAUCUUAGCUUUCAAAUGGCUUUGGAAUCACUUGAAUUGGAGUUGUAUGUGCUGAGAUAUGACUGAAUGAAUCAGGACUGCCACAGUAAACUUCGAACUGGAGAAUCUGGGGUUGUUUUGGUAAAUUUGACCUAGUUAGGGUGAGAACUGGACUAAGUAAUCUUCAUAAAAGUUACAAAUCCCUGUCUUAGCUUCAAAAUUCUAUAAGAUUCGUCUUAAUCCGAUAAGCGUAACUUAAGUUACGAUCGAAACACCGAGACACGUCAAACCUGCUUUUAGGCCUAUUGUCUUUCAAUUUGGUUUUCGGUUGCAUUAUUAACCUUGUGUUGUAAUUGACUAUAUAUGAAGGGUAUUGUGACCCUAAUUAGAUGUUUUUAAUAGCUUGUGAAUUAUAUUUGAGGUUGUGGUUGAUUUGGGUUGAAUUUGGUGUUGAAUUGUAGGGUGAAAAGUAAGAAAAACAAGGGGAAAUGCUGUUAAAAUUUUCGCAGGAACCCCGAAGCAGUUAUGGGAAAUCUACAAUAUAUGGAUGUCGAAAUAUCAGAAUUGAGUUCCGUUUGUUGUGUUUUAAACUAGAUUCACAGGGCUAUGAAUCGUGUAAAUUUCAGUUUCUGGUUUGGUCUGUGGGAUUUAUGGUGAUUUUUCAAAGUUAACCGAAAUCGUAUACCUGCUCUGCCUUUUUCUGGUUAAGACAGCAAUUUGAGGCUCGAAUUUGAUUGGCUUGUGAUCUGAAUCAACUAAAUAUGUCUUUUGAGAAAUUUUACCCCUUUGAGUCUAUUUUCCAACGGUGUAAAUUUUACCAAUUUCGAACUUAAGAAUCUUAAGAUAUGAUUUUUCAAUCAGGGGUGUGCAAAACUGAAAAAAAAA